Molecule: transfer RNA, 525 nt
Filed under: uncultured Prochlorococcus sp.
Lineage: Bacteria; Bacillati; Cyanobacteriota; Cyanophyceae; Synechococcales; Prochlorococcaceae
Description: partial 16S-23S ribosomal RNA intergenic spacer
Rfam family: tRNA (bases 209-281)
Source: RNAcentral
CAGGGAGACAACAAAAUGUUUGAUAUUAUUUUGUCACCUUAGGUCGAUCGGUAUCUCACGUUCUUAAUUUAUUAAGAAUUUCAAUUCCUAAGUUUUUCUAGGUCACACCCAUUAUUUUCCCUGGGCCAUUAGCUCAGGUGGUUAGAGCGCACCCCUGAUAAGGGUGAGGUCCCUGGUUCAAGUCCAGGAUGGCCCAUAUCUCUAUGUUGGGGGUAUAGCUCAGUUGGUAGAGCGCCUGCUUUGCAAGCAGGAUGUCAGCGGUUCGAGUCCGCUUACCUCCACUGAUUACCACCUCUUCCAUAAUUUGUAGAAAGGGAAUUUUUUGAGUUGUGAUCACAAUUCUGAACGAAUCUAGCUUCCUAAUGAAAUCAUUAAGAUGCUGGACUCAUUGAAUUAAUUUCAUUGUUUUCAGAGAACCUUGACAACUGCAUAGAUUUUUUUUAAACACAAUAAGCAUCUUUUAUGAUGCAGAUUUAUUAUUUAUGCGAAUGCAUUAAUAACAAUUCUAUUAAGCUGAUGCUUCAA